RNAcentral lists this long non-coding RNA (1370 nucleotides) under Felis catus (domestic cat). RNAcentral describes it as "lncRNA (ENSFCAG00000052502.1)". Lineage: Eukaryota; Metazoa; Chordata; Mammalia; Carnivora; Felidae. The record is from RNAcentral.
ACUUGAGAGCAUUAGAAAGCUGUCAAGGCAAGUAGGACUUAAGGGGGCAAGACCCUGGAGACCAGAAGAUUACAAAAUACAAGGCCUGGCAUUCUGUAUGGAAUUUCCUUUCUGAAAUCACCAUAUUCUAAGCUGCUAAGGAGUGAAUGACCAAGAAAUGAAAACAGUAGCCAGGAAGCUAAACCCUAAGCCCAGCAAAGUAGAACCACGAGCUCCCACAGAGAUUCUUCAGGGCUCUGCUUCAAGAGUAGCCCACGACUCUGAAAAUGGGCAGACACAAGACAUUCCAUCUCUAAGUGCAUCCCAGUGAGCUGCAAUGCCUGUGACUGCAUCCUAGGGGAAGGCUCCAGGCAAAGCAUACAUUAUUUCUAUGUCUCAAAUUCUUAACUCUAAUGAAUAUGGUUAGGGAAUUAGAUGGCAAGGUGGAAAAUUUUACCCAAGAAUUGGAAUCUAGAUGAUGAAACCAGAAGGAACUUCUAGAUCUGUAAUUACUUAUAAUCCAGUUGAGGUGUUAUUAAACACCUCAGAAACUGUAGGGAGGGGCAUUCAUAAACUGAAUUACAGGUCAGGAGCAAAUUAAUGCAAGUAAGAGGGAGGAGCCACGAGGAUUCUCUAAAACGAUCAUCCCACUGCUAGAAGGGGCGGAGAAUAAGAGACUGGCCUGUCUUGGAGGGGGAAGGAGGUGCAGCCCUCUGCUGGUUUGUGUCCGUGGGCCCUCUUCACAUCUGUGCUUCUCUGUGUUUGAGGGGUGUCUUCCUCUGAACUGUGACUGCUGGCAUUCUGUGGCUGAAGAGCCAGAGGAAACACAAAGGACUUGGAAGCCACAGUGAAACGCCCAAGCCCACAAGCGGAGUUCUCUGUGUUCCGGACUCCUUGCCUUUCCUGCUCCUAAAGAUGCAAUGUCACUUUGGAGCUCAAAGUGCAAGACCGAUCUCGAACCAGUGCCUUACGCCUCUGGCUGACAUCAACGCCGUGUCCCUCAGUGUCUUUCCGUGUCGGCACUCUACUUCCCAUUUUUACAUGAAUGAAUUCUGGAUGCUGUCGUAAACCUUGAAAUGAGGACUGUUCCAACCUGGGUCUGUGGCAUAGAGAUGCUGCUGUUCUGAUCUGGAUGUCGGAUUCCAGUAAUACACGCAGGCGGGUAAGAAUACGUAUAUCCAAGUUUAUAAUCCCAGUCUCCCACUUUAUACCCAGAGUCCCCAAAUUAUAAAACCAGCCUGAUGUGAGAAAUGCUUUAGAAAGCAUUUCCAUUAAAAAAAAUUAAUAUAAAGCUAAAAGAAGACCUGUAUGAUUUUGACAGAGUUUAUUAAUGUAAUUUAUUAAAACUCUAAUCUUGAUUCUAUUGGAUUCGCAUACACAUCAGGGUGAUU